Long non-coding RNA from Anarrhichthys ocellatus (wolf-eel), 2119 nucleotides. RefSeq lists it as uncharacterized. Lineage: Eukaryota; Metazoa; Chordata; Actinopteri; Perciformes; Anarhichadidae. The transcript is spliced from 7 exons. The record is from RefSeq and is a predicted model, not a curated record.
CAAAGGGGGACUCCACAACACAAAGCUAGAUGUGCCCUCUCAAACUUUUUCCACGACGCAUGGACAGGCGCGCAGAGCAAAACGCCUCCAGGUGGAUUUUAACACCAGAUUAACCAGCAAAGCGUUUUUCUCCAGUUGGAGGUUAAGGAAAGGAAAAUAUGUGGAAAUCACAUGGAAGAUGUACGGAGUCACCUAUCAAGCGGCUUUUAAGACGCAGAGGAGGAUUAAGAGACUGUGCAGUUUUCUUUUGGAGAAGGUGAAGACUCAUCUCAUAAGGAUUUAAACCUCAGGAGCAGCAGUGCCAGGCGGGAUGCAUUUUAGGCACGCUUGGAAAUCUGAAACUCAUGGAGACACUUUAAGGAUUAUAAAAAAUGUGUAGUGUGUCUCUCCACAAGACAGCAUCCCAGCCCAAUGUCACUGGGAGAACAGGAUAUUGCAUCUAGGAUCCUCCUCGGCCCUCCACAUGGAAGUGUGGGAGUGGUGAGGUCUGGGAGAUCACGACCUUAAUUCUCUCCAAGACACACGGUUUAAUUAACACUGGAGGAAUCCUCACUGGCUCCAGACCUUGAAUGUACAGGGGAAUUGGAGUGCCAAGAUGCAUUGUGUCCUAUCCCCAGGACCCCUGGCUGUGCAGCUAUAGCCACUGAUGAUUAAGCAACAAUGCAGACAAAAAUGAAGCCCCCUGUCUAUACAGUCCACAUUGCGAGAAGACCACCUCACAGGGAUUUUCCCCUUCACCAGGUGUGGCAGAGAGAGUCAGAGGGGAACACCACUGGGUCUAGACAGGACUAUUAACCGGAUCUUCAAUGAAACCUGUGUGGAAAUAGAGAAGAAAAUGAAGAUAAAGAGGAAAACUGCUUGAUGGAGUCAACAGUUAAUUAUGCAUAUCAAUCACAUAUACGAUAUGUUCGUCAUCUCUGUUGUCAUAUACUUUAACUCCUUCGUUUCCCAAGUGUUACUUUUCACAGGAUAUCACCGACUGUAAAUAAGUGAGAAAAUCAUUAUGCAUUGAUGUUAUUUGGUGUGUGCUAUAUGAUGUGAAUCACAACAACUCUUGCUGCAAAGUUUUGUUAAUGUUUCUCAAGACAAUGAGCUUAUAUAGAGCUCUAUAAAAAUUUACAAAUGAAUUCAUUGCAAAUUCAGGACCACCAUGAGCGUUACUGCGCUGUACGUGUGUGUGAUGUAUUUGGAAAUGACUAUUCUUGUUUAUGUUCACUGAUACAUGAGAAAGUGCUGUUUAUUUGUCCACAUUGUUGUUCCGCAAUAGUGCCUCCUCUUUACGGUACAUAGCUUUUUCCUAAUGCUUCUCAUGUACUGUAUGUACAUUUGAGAGAACAUGUGAUCAGAACAAUGUAUAAGGAUUGACAGUGUUAGGCAGCUUCGACAACCCUACUGUCUGGUACAACAACAUAUUCAUGUAUGUGCAUUGUAUUGGUUAAGAAGUAAUUAUCCCAAUGUGGUCACGGGGGGAACGAAGACAACAUUAACAACAUGUACUCAUACAAUAUGUAAAGCUCUGUGUAGAAAUAUUCCCAGAAUGUAGAGCUCUAAUGGGACAAUAUAUGUACAGCAUUCCACUUUUAUCAUCCCACCAUAGAUUAUUAAUGAAUGUAUUGUUCUGCGACAAAUCUAGGUAAUAUAAGGUUGAAUAAAGAAUUUUUAAUGGUGUCUCAACAGACUCGUAAAAACAUGGGACUACACUUGUCAUAUGAGAAUCUAGCAGUGUAGGAAUGAUGCACUGUAUAAAGUACCUUUUAUAUGUGACGUCUUCCACAUCUGUGUUUUAAAACCCUGUAAGUAUUUAGGAGUUGAGUGGCUUGCUGCAGGGUGCUGUUGUAAUGUCACUAGAGACUUAAGAUGCAAAGUGAGCAAUGUGUCAUAAAUACACUAAAAGCCUUCUUAAGCCUUGUUUUAUAAUAUGUUUGUGGUUCACUUACUGCAUGUCCUUUAUUUUUGCACGUCCAGUUUGACCGGUAAUGAUAGAAACAGAACUGUUGCACGGGCUGUGCAAAGUGUGUGACCGCACACGGUCUCCGUGUAUAUGUACUUAUAUAUAUAUAUAUAUGGGAUUACAUGCAUAUAAAAAGCAUAUAAACAUUGAACAAAAAGUUCAGAAAUU